Molecule: ribosomal RNA, 861 nt
Filed under: Triticum aestivum (bread wheat)
Lineage: Eukaryota; Viridiplantae; Streptophyta; Magnoliopsida; Poales; Poaceae
Description: partial small subunit ribosomal RNA
Source: RNAcentral
AUGAUUCGUCGUCUUAUGCGUAGAGCGGAGAUAGCUCGUAGUAGAGGCAAACACGCGCCGUUCCCGGAAAGCAACACGCGCGAGUCCAAUUCGGAUGCUCGUGGGCCCGUGACCCUACAUAACAUACCUACAAAAUCUUCACCGCGCGGUCUCCUCCCUGUACGCAGCCAAAACUCAGACCUAUCUCGACCCCGCUCUCCGACGACCGCCCAGCCGCCGCCCAGGAACCAAUCGCCGGCGCGCCGCCCCCUCCAUAAGAAUCGCUCAAGAUCGAUGAAGAUCCACGUGAGGUUGCUAAACAACACGGCCCACGAUCUCGAGGUCGAGGGCUCGGACACCGUCGGCAGCGUGAAGGCGAAGAUCAUGGAGAAGGAGGGGGUUCCCCCGCAGCAGCAGCUCCUCUUCUUCGCCGAUCAGGGGCUGGAGGAUGCCCGGACGCUCGCGGACCAUGGCAUCGAGGACGGGGCCUCGGUCUGCCUGAUCGCCAUCAACAUGCAGGCUGGGUUUCCCUGGCUUCUACCGUUCGAGACAGAUUCACUCCAGGAAUUUGAGAAGAUGGAAGCUGGAGGAGAUCAGAACAGCCAGGUAGUAUUUGUCGAGCACCUGCCUGCGACACUCGACAAAGGCUACCACAUGGAAGGCUUUGGGAGUGUGCCAGCUGGCAAGGAAACCAAGUGUCGGGAACGCGUUUUCAUCUCUCGCCUGAUGCCGUUCGUGCGCCGCCCCACGCGUUUCCCUGCUCGACAGACCGGACGCCCGGAGCUCGGACUUUCCAGAUCAUCUCGCUUUGUAUCUUGGUACAUCUCGCAUCAUCGGAGCAGCCCUCCUAUUUUGUCAUCCUGUUCUGCUCCAUCUCCGUGA